Molecule: ribosomal RNA, 497 nt
Filed under: uncultured bacterium
Lineage: Bacteria
Description: partial 16S ribosomal RNA
Rfam family: Bacterial small subunit ribosomal RNA
Source: RNAcentral
GAUGAACGCUGGCGGCGUGCCUAAUACAUGCAAGUCGAGCGAACAGACGAGGAGCUUGCUCCUCUGACGUUAGCGGCGGACGGGUGAGUAACACGUGGAUAACCUACCUAUAAGACUGGGAUAACUUCGGUAAACCGGAGCUAAUACCGGAUAAUAUCUUGCACCGCAUGGUUCAAUAGUGAAAGACGGUUUUGCUGUCACUUAUAGAUGGAUCCGCGCCGCAUUAGCUAGUUGGUAAGGUAACGGCUUACCAAGGCGACGAUGCGUAGCCGACCUGAGAGGGUGAGCGGCCACACUGGAACUGAGACACGGUCCAGAAUCCUACGGGAGGCAGCAGUAGGGAAUCUUCCGCAAUGGGCGAAAGCCUGACGGAGCAACGCCGCGUGAGUGAUGAAGGUCGUCGGAUCCUAAAACUCUGUUAUUAGGGAAGAACAAAUGUGUAAGUAACUAGGCACGGCGUUACGUGACCUAAUCAGAAAGCCACGGCUAACUACGUG